This 252-nucleotide ribosomal RNA is filed under the name uncultured bacterium. RNAcentral describes it as "partial 16S ribosomal RNA". It matches the Rfam family "Bacterial small subunit ribosomal RNA", at positions 524 to 776 of the family's 1533-position model. The record is from RNAcentral.
UACGUAGGGGGCUAGCGUUAUCCGGAAUUACUGGGCGUAAAGGGUGCGUAGGUGGUUUCUUAAGUCAGAGGUGAAAGGCUACGGCUCAACCGUAGUAAGCCUUUGAAACUGGGGAACUUGAGUGCAGGAGAGGAGAGUGGAAUUCCUAGUGUAGCGGUGAAAUGCGUAGAUAUUAGGAGGAACACCAGUUGCGAAGGCGGCUCUCUGGCCUGUACCUGACACUGAGGCUCGAAAGCGUGGGGAGCAAACAGG